Molecule: ribosomal RNA, 827 nt
Filed under: uncultured marine archaeon
Lineage: Archaea
Description: bacterial SSU rRNA
Rfam family: Archaeal small subunit ribosomal RNA
Source: RNAcentral
UGCGAGUCGAGAGUCUUAGGGACUCGGCGUACCGCUCAGUAACACGUGGGUAACCUGCCCUAUGCUGGGGAAUAACCUCGGGAAACUGAGAAUAAUGCCCCAUAGUCCACCAUGCCUGGAACGGUUGGUGGAUGAAAGCUCCGGCGGCAUAGGAUGGGCCUGCGGCGUAUCAGGUCGUAGGGGGUGUAACGUACCCUCUAGCCAUCGACGCGUACGGGUGUUGGGAGACAUAGCCCGGAGAUGGAUUCUGAGACACGAAUCCAGACCCUACGGGGUGCAGCAGGCGCGAAAACUUGGCAAUGCGAGAAAUCGUGACCAGGGAACUCCAAGUGGCUGGGGUAAGACCCAGUCUUUUCUUGACUCUUCAAAGGUCUUGGAAUAAGGGGUGGGUAAGGACGGUGCCAGCCGCCGCGGUAAUACCGGCGCCUCAAGUGGUAGUCGAUUUUAUUGGGCCUAAAACGUCCGUCGCCUGUUUGGUACAUUCGUGGGUAAAUCAACCAGCUCAACUGGUUGAAUUCUGCGAGCACGGCCAGACUUGGGACCGGGAGAAGUGUGGGGUACGCUUAAGGUAAGGGUAAAAUUCUGUCCUUCUGAACGGACCCCCUGGUGGCGAAAGGCUCCCACACCUAGAACCGAUUCGGACGGGUCAGGGAACGAAGCCUAGGGGCACGAACCGGGAUUAGAUACCCGGGUAGUCCUAAGUGUAAACGCUGUGGACUUGGUGUUGGGAAAGUUCCGAGCCUUUCUCAGUGCCGAAGCGAAAGUGAUAAGUCCACUGCCUGGGGAGUACGGUCGCAAAGGCUGAAACUUAAAGGAAUUGGCGGGGG